Molecule: long non-coding RNA, 1154 nt
Organism: Diachasmimorpha longicaudata
Lineage: Eukaryota; Metazoa; Arthropoda; Insecta; Hymenoptera; Braconidae
Exons: 4
Source: RefSeq, a predicted model, not a curated record
GUCGAGUCUGAUGGCGCGUGUAAUUAUCGGAUUAAAGUACUAAACGUAACUUAAAUCUAAAGAUUAUAAAAAAUUGCAAGUCGUUCCCAGGAAACUGAGAAGGAAAUUUAUUCCGAAGUCUCAUGAAGACAUCAAUGCAUUUAUUAAAUCAUAAAAACAUACGAGUUAUCUAACCACAACUGUCGGUGUAUUGACAUGAUUGUAAUUUUAAAAAAUUGCUGAGCCGGAGAGCGCCUCUGAGCUCAUUUCUGUCCAGAUAUUCCAUUCCAAUAGAUAAUUAACAAUCCCCCCCUUGAGUCUUUAUCAGCCUGUUCAAACACUAGCAGGUGAACUACCCAAAAUAUUCCCCAUGGCUUUGAAAACUGACAACAGACGUCAUCAAUUGACCUGACGUUUCACCCACACAGUAUCUGAUUGUCUAUCUGUGGCCCCGGGGCUCUAGAAAAACGCUCGACGGCCACCAGGAGCCCACAUUCGUUCGGAUAAACUCAUAUCGGUACGUUAGCGUGUUGGAACAUAAAUUGUAAAUAAACAGAGGAUAGGAGUAUCACGGUGAGGAGGUUUUGCAAGAAUUUGUGGGAAGUUUUCGACGGUAUUGGUCACGAGGUCUUCAUUGGCGACUGCUGAAGACGUUCCAGUCAUUUUCGCGAGAGUGUCACUCGAAAAUUAAGUGUUUUCGGUAUUAACUCAUCAUGAAACUAAUCAACUUCCUGGUUCUCUUCUUUUUCGUAGUUUGCACCGUCGCCUACGAGAUAGAUAAAUUAAAUCCUGGCGAAAGAUGCUUGUUAAAGUGUAAGAGUCAGGGUCGCGUGAUAAAUUUGGAAAUGUCUGAACUGGGUGUUUGUUACUGCGAUGAUUAAUGAUCGAGUCUCCGACCUGGGGAACUGGGGAAUUCCUUAGGUAGUUGGAGGAUCAAUUUCGAGAUCUACUCCAUUAAUAAAAUGGAGUUGUAAUGUGCCAAUUUAUUGGAAUGGACAAGACUUCAUUAUUAAAUUAUAAAUACGAAGUAGACUGUAAUCACGUCAUAAUACAUUAAUUCCCAACUCAUAAAGAUGAGUUUCUAGGGGAAAUGAUCUCCAGAUGAAUUUAUUUCUUCGAGUAGAAGCAACAAAAAAAUUAAUUGUAAACUAUUGAAUAAAUACCCUAUGAUGUCG